AAUCAACGCUGGCGGCGCGCUUAACACAUGCAAGUCGAGCGAGAAAGGGGAGCAAUCCCUGAGUACAGCGGCGCACGGGUGAGUAACACGUGGAUAAUCUACCUUGAAGUGGGGAAUAACUCUGGGAAACCGGAGCUAAGACCGCAUACGCCUGCGAAGGGAAAGCGAGCAAUCGCGCUUUAAGAGGAGUCCGCGGCCGAUUAGCUAGUUGGUGAGGUAAAGGCUCACCAAGGCGGGGAUCGGUAGCCGGCCUGAGAGGGCACACGGCCACACUGGCACUGAAACACGGGCCAGACUCCUACGGGAGGCAGCAGUGGGGAAUCUUGCACAAUGGAGGCAACUCUGAUGCAGCGACGCCGCGUGAGCGAUGAAGCCCUUCGGGGUGUAAA
This 389-nucleotide ribosomal RNA is filed under the name uncultured bacterium. Its description in RNAcentral is "bacterial SSU rRNA". It matches the Rfam family "Bacterial small subunit ribosomal RNA", at positions 29 to 429 of the family's 1533-position model. The record is from RNAcentral.